This 465-nucleotide ribosomal RNA is filed under the name uncultured bacterium. Its description in RNAcentral is "partial 16S ribosomal RNA". It matches the Rfam family "Bacterial small subunit ribosomal RNA", at positions 28 to 507 of the family's 1533-position model. The record is from RNAcentral.
GACGAACGCUGGCGGCGUGCUUAACACAUGCAAGUCGAACGGAAAGGCCCUGCUUGCAGGGUACUCGAGUGGCGAACGGGUGAGUAACACGUGGGUGAUCUGCCCUGCACUUCGGGAUAAGCCUGGGAAACUGGGUCUAUUACCGGAUAGGAGCCAUUUUUAGUGUGGUGGUUGGAAAGUUUUUUCGGUGUAGGAUGAGCUCGCGGCCUAUCAGCUUGUUGGUGGGGUAAUGGCCUACCAAGGCGGCGACGGGUAGCCGGCCGGAGAGAGUGGACGGCCACAUUGGGACUGGGAUACGGCCCAGACGCCUACGGGAGGCAGCAGUGGGGAAUAUUGCACAAUGGGCGCGAGCCUGAUGCAGCGACGCCGCGUGGGGGAUGACGGCCUUCGGGUUGGAAACUCGUUUCGCUAGGGACGAAGCUUUUUGUGACGGUACCUAGAUAAGAAGCACCGGCUAACUACGUG